GUUUUUCCCUAAGUUAACGUAUCCAGGAAGAAAGCUGUGUGGAGCUUCACUGUUCCGGGGCUGAUCUUAGGUCACACCAACUUUCAAUGUAGAUGUGCCAUAGGUUUCACUAGCUUCAUUCUCAACAUUUGUUUUCAUCAUAGGGGAGCCCCAAAGAAUCAGCUACUUGGACUUUGACCCACAGAGGCAAAAGGGGUCCAUUCAAAAUAAUAAGCAGUCACCCUGUCCUCACCUUCCUGACAUACAACAUGUAGGUGAGAGGUCCCUGGUGAGAGGGAGGGAGAGAGGAAUCAGGCAUUUUAAAUCUAUAUACUGGUAUUUAUUCCUCCACAAAAUCCUACUGUGUCCCCAUGGCAGUAGAUAGGUAGCCCUGAACUUCUGGAGGUUAUCCUCUAUCAGGCUCCAGAAACAGGGAAAGAUUUCAGUACCAUUUCAGAGUUAAGAUUGUAUACAUCUGAGGAAUAACCUACAGAGGGUGAGGCUCCCCCUUGUGCUGGCAGGACUGCUGAGUGAAAGGUCAGUGGUUCAGAUCCACUGAACCGCUCCCCAUGCAGGAACAUGAGAGAAGCCUCCCACAAGAUGGUAAAACAUCUGGGCAUCCCCUAGGCAACAUCCUUGCAGACGUCCAAUUCUCUAACACCAGAAGUGACUUGCAGCUUCUCAAAUCGCUCCUGACAUGGAAAAAAAAUACAGAGGGUAUUGUUACUAGAAGGCUAGCUACCAAAUGAUUAAUAUGUGAUACAGCAUGAACCCCAUAUCUGCAGGGGAUAUAUUCCAAGAACCUCAAUGGAUUCCUGAAACUAUGGAUAAUAGCGAACCCUACACUUUAGCUUGAAGAAUAUCAUAGAAUUAUACCAAAAAAAAUCCUAAAGAGGCUCACAAACAUUUGCAGGGGUGAUAUUUCUUGGAGCAUUGACAAAUGAAAACAUAGAUAAUGAAUCCAUGAAUAAAAGGUCAUACUAUAUAGUUGCGACUUGCAUUGGUGGAGAUGAAAAGACAUUGCUAGAUGAAAAGCAUGCAGAGGGAAGAGGAAAGUUAAUCCAGCCCAACUUUAAAGCAUAGCUUGUAAAGCGACUUUUAAGAAUUGAUGUAAUUAGUACUAAUGAUAUGCUGGAAUAAUUAUUGACUGCUCAAUUAUAGAUAGCUUCAACAUAUUGUGACAUUAAUUCUUCUUAAAAGUAGGUUUCAGAAGGCAGAACUUUAUUCGAGUAAGCAAAGUGUGUUUUUUGUGACCUGCCAGGGUUCUCCAGAUUUGCACAAAUGUAACAAAUCUUUCCCACAUGAUCCCACCCGGGGCCGAUCCAGCUUAACUGAAGAAGAAACCCAAAUCCCAAGGAUGAACUAGACAUUUGUGAAUGCCUAUGCCCACAAGCAGAGUAGAGGCUCCCCCCUUCCAUCUCAAAUGCUGUUGCCCUGACCCCAGAGAGAAAGAAGAAGAGGCAGACACAGUUCCAUCAAGUAUAGGCCCAGAAGAUGAAAUGCCCUCCAUCCAUCCCAACUGCCACUGUUCUGGCCUCAGAGGGAGCGAAGGAGCAGGUUGGGCUCCAUCAUGAUGAGGCCCAACAGCAGAUGAAAGGUCCUCCUUCCGUUCCAACUGCUUCAGAUGGAGAGUAGAGGCAAUAUCUGCUGGACUUAACCUCUCCACACUAUCAGUUCCAUUUCAUUUUGUGUCAUUCAUGUCUUGGUUAGAUUGUAAGCAUGACGGCAGGCUUGGAAAGCACAGUGCAAAUUGAUGGUUAUAUAUAUAUAUAUUGUCAACAAUCAAGUGCAGGCAGUAGUGAACCUCCAUGCACAAAUUGGAAAGAGUGUUGCCAGGUCUGAACCACCCCAGGCACUGAGAUUUUAGCAUCAAACCUAUUAUCUGGGGACAUCUCCUUGUAAUGUCACGGGGAGCUCAUAUACACAAAUUUUCAAGGGAGCACUCGCACCCUUUACAUUCCUUCACCAAGGACUGGAAAAGAGGUAUCAAGCAAUGAGAUCUGGAAACUCUACUUUGAAACCUGGGCAAUACAGAACUGUUUAUUUUCUAUUAGAGAAGCACAUGUACAUACAAAGAUACAAAAGAUAAGUGAAUCAAAGACUGGGCAACAAUUAACUGUGGAAAAAGCUUCCAUCCUCUGACACACUGAAUUUAAUAUAUUUGUCCAUGCACUGCUUGAAGGCUCCAAUGGUUACUAUGACCAAGAGAGCCUUUGCCCAGUUUCAACUGGUCUUCCAGUACUCCAUGCCUGAAUCCACGGAUGGGCAUCACUCCUGGCCACCAUUCUGUCUCGUUUUCAGCCAAUUUUGGGGAGGUUCUGGAGCUAGGAUAAGUAAACCAUCACAUUGGAAGGCAGCUUUGGAAAUUCUAGGCCAGUUUUUGGUCAAGAGGUAAAGGUAAAGAUUUUCUCCUGACA
Long non-coding RNA from Anolis carolinensis (green anole), 2396 nucleotides. RefSeq lists it as uncharacterized. The transcript is spliced from 2 exons. The record is from RefSeq and is a predicted model, not a curated record. Lineage: Eukaryota; Metazoa; Chordata; Lepidosauria; Squamata; Anolidae.